This 73-nucleotide transfer RNA is filed under the name Felis catus (domestic cat). It matches the Rfam family "tRNA". From Rfam's summary of the family: Transfer RNA (tRNA) molecules are approximately 80 nucleotides in length. Their secondary structure includes four short double-helical elements and three loops (D, anti-codon, and T loops). Further hydrogen bonds mediate the characteristic L-shaped molecular structure. tRNAs have two regions of fundamental functional importance: the anti-codon, which is responsible for specific mRNA codon recognition, and the 3' end, to which the tRNAs corresponding amino acid is attached (by aminoacyl-tRNA synthetases). tRNAs cope with the degeneracy of the genetic code in two manners: having more than one tRNA (with a specific anti-codon) for a particular amino acid; and 'wobble' base-pairing, i.e. permitting non-standard base-pairing at the 3rd anti-codon position. The record is from Rfam by way of RNAcentral. Lineage: Eukaryota; Metazoa; Chordata; Mammalia; Carnivora; Felidae.
GCCUGGCUGGCUCAGUUGGUGGAGCAUGGAAUUCUUGAUCUCAGGGUUGUGAGUUCGAGCCCCAUGUUGGGUG